AAAAAAGUAGUGGGAUGGCGUGACGUCCGCGUGUCCGUCUUCCGUAGGUAGAUCAUUUAAUUCGUCUCUGUGUUGUGUUCUGAAGAUGAAACGGCGGUGACUCAAGCUCCUGACGCCGAUGGGAGUGAGGCACGGCAUGGUACUAACUGGAUCCAUGACAGGCAUUGGGUCAGGGUUCAGCUGCUUCUUCUCCUCCUCCCCCUCCUCCUCGUCACUGCUGUACUCUUCCAUGACGCCGUCGGAGAAGUGUAGGACACGGCGUGGCUGUUUCUGGCUCUUGCAGCGGCCUUCCUCAGCCUCUGGGGGGCUCUCCUAGAUGUAUAUAAAGCCUUAAGAAUCCAGUCGUCCCAAGUCUCCUGCUCAGAAUGCAGUUAUAUCCUUGCUUCUGGAAAUACGUGAAUUAUUAUUAUUUUCCAAGUGUCACCUCCACUGUCUCGCCCACUCUGCAGUUUCCCCUUGAUUGGACUUUGUGAGUAUACUGAGAACAUAUUGUAGGAGACUUGUUAACUGGCUGUUGCCAGAUAAUGAGCAUCAUAAGUUGUAUGUGUUCAAAGGAUGCCACAUUAUUUUUUUUAUUCAAUUAUUUUAUCCAUUUGGGCGUAAGAGACUCAAUCAAGAAAACACAAGAGGCUAGACUUUGAUGGUAUGGGCAUGUCAUGAGGAGUAAUGGAGAAAAGAGCACUGGAAGUACAGGGAAGACCCAAGACAAGAUAGGACUGCAUAGCACCGGAUAUGAGAGAAUGGUCUGAAUACUAACAUGGCAGGCUAUAGAGGCAGGUGGAGGCGGCUCAUCAAGAACAGCGACCCCAUGUAAAGAAGGCUAAUAAAGCUGACAAAGAAAAAGAAAACUCAGUAAAGAUCCUCUUUAAUGUGAGGUAAGGCUUUGCUAGUUCAGUAUUUUUAUUUAUUUAUUAUUUUUUUUACGUCUAUGCCUAUAGCACCGGUAGGCUUGCUUGAGGAGCCUGGAUGAUAUUCGGCCCCAGCCCGUCAUGGCGCAGGCAAGUGUUUAUAGUGGCACCAUCUUCUCUUGGCUCAUUCUACCCCCCGGAACUCCUUCUUGAUUCACUUUCCCCUAGAGUCCAGGUUGAUGGGUGGUCUUCAGGACAGCAUGUGGGUAGUUUUAAGCCACUCGGCGGUGACUGAACAAUCCGAGGUGGUAGCGUGGGGAUUCAAACUCGCGUCGUCCAUCACGUGGUGAAUGUGGGCCCAGCACGCUACCACUCAGCCAUCGCCUAUUGUGACUUAGAGAAAGGGAUUUGUAUUAGUAAAUGUUUAUUGUAGCAACUUUCUCAUCAGAGCCUCCCAAGGAUAUGUUCCUUUUGGUUUUUAUUUACAAUAUAAGCAUACAAUCAAUACAAAUGUCUCUCAUAGUAUUCUGCUGCCCCUUAUUUACAAUAAAAGCUCAGUAUCUGUACAAUGUACACUUUCUUAUCAAUAUACAGAAAACUUCAGUGCCAGUAGGUGCCAAAAGCACAUCCAGAUCGCAUAACAAUCAACUAAAGUGAUACAAAAAAUAGGAGACUGAAAAAUAUGGCAAAACAGAUCAAACUAUCAUAGAAAUACUGACUGAUGUGAAAUUGAGUUCUUUUUAGUCAGGCAUCUUUCAACCAUAACCACAGAGUAAAUAUCAUUGAUCUGUACCAGUUUUGAUGAUUAGUUACUAAAUUAGCUGCUAUGCCCCCCUUUCUCAACUCCUUGACCUUCCUCAAAGGCCAGAUAUUUAGAAGGCUAAUGAAAAGAUUGACAAUGAAAUGUAUGUGCCUGUAUUUGUGUCCAUAAAUAGCUUUAAUUGUAAAUA
Eriocheir sinensis (Chinese mitten crab) is the source of this 1798-nucleotide long non-coding RNA. RefSeq lists it as uncharacterized. The record is from RefSeq and is a predicted model, not a curated record. NCBI's taxonomy places the organism in Eukaryota, Metazoa, Arthropoda, Malacostraca, Decapoda, Varunidae. The transcript has 3 exons.